RNAcentral lists this ribosomal RNA (580 nucleotides) under Lactiplantibacillus plantarum. Its description in RNAcentral is "bacterial SSU rRNA". It matches the Rfam family "Bacterial small subunit ribosomal RNA", at positions 379 to 951 of the family's 1533-position model. Lineage: Bacteria; Bacillati; Bacillota; Bacilli; Lactobacillales; Lactobacillaceae. The record is from RNAcentral.
AAGUCUGAUGGAGCACGCCGCGUGAGUGAAGAAGGGUUUCGGCUCGUAAAACUCUGUUGUUAAAGAAGAACAUAUCUGAGAGUAACUGUUCAGGUAUUGACGGUAUCUAACCAGAAAGCCACGGCUAACUACGUGCCAGCAGCCGCGGUAAUACGUAGGUGGCAAGCGUUGUCGGAUUUAUUGGGCGUAAAGCGAGCGCAGGCGGUUUUUUAAGUCUGAUGUGAAAGCCUUCGGCUCAACCGAAGAAGUGCAUCGGAAACUGGGGAACUUGAGUGCAGAAGAGGACAGUGGAACUCCAUGUGUAGCGGUGAAAUGCGUAGAUAUAUGGAAGAACACCAGUGGCGAAGGCGGCUGUCUGGUCUGUAACUGACGCUGAGGCUCGAAAGUAUGGGUAGCAAACAGGAUUAGAUACCCUGGUAGCCCACUACCGUAAACGAUGAAUGCUAAGUGUUGGAGGGUUUCCGCCCUUCAGUGCUGCAGCUAACGCAUUAAGCAUUCCGCCUGGGGAGUACGGCCGCAAGGCUGAAACUCAAAGGAAUUGACGGGGGCCCGCACAAGCGGUGGAGCAUGUGGUUUAAUU